Molecule: ribosomal RNA, 408 nt
Filed under: uncultured bacterium
Lineage: Bacteria
Description: bacterial SSU rRNA
Rfam family: Bacterial small subunit ribosomal RNA
Source: RNAcentral
AACGAACGCUGGCGGCAUGCCUAACACAUGCAAGUCGAACGGGAUCCUAGCUUGCUAGGUGAGAGUGGCGGACGGGUGAGUAACACGUGGGAAUCUGCCUUUUGGUUCGGGAUAACCGCGGGAAACUGCGGCUAAUACCGAAUGCCCUCGAGAGAGGAAAGAUUUAUCGCCAGAAGAGGAGCCCGCGUCCGAUUUAGGUAGUUGGUGGGGUAAAGCCUACCAAGCCGACGAUCGGUAGCUGGUCUGAGAGGAUGAUCAGCCACACUGGGACUGAGAUACGGCCCAGACUCCUACGGGAGGCAGCAGUGGGGAAUAUUGGACAAUGGGGCAACCCUGAUCCAGCAAUGCCGACGUGAGUGAUGAAGGCCUUAGGGUUGUAAAGCUCUUUGCCAGGAGAUGAUGACUGUA